CCUACGGGAGGCUGCAGUGGGGAAUAUUGGACAAUGGGGGGAACCCUGAUCCAGCCAUGCCGCGUGUGUGAAGAAGGCCCUCGGGUUGUAAAGCACUUUCAGUGAGGAAGAACGCCUGGUGGUUAAUACCCAUCAGGAAAGACAUCACUCACAGAAGAAGCACCGGCUAACUCCGUGCCAGCAGCCGCGGUAAUACGGAGGGUGCGAGCGUUAAUCGGAAUUACUGGGCGUAAAGCGCGCGUAGGUGGCUUGAUAAGCCGGUUGUGAAAGCCCCGGGCUCAACCUGGGAACGGCAUCCGGAACUGUCAAGCUAGAGUGCAGGAGAGGAAGGUAGAAUUCCCGGUGUAGCGGUGAAGUGCGUAGAGAUCGGGAGGAAUACCAGUGGCGAAGGCGGCCUUCUGGACUGACACUGACACUGAGGUGCGAAAGCGUGGGUAGCAAACAGGAUUAGAUACCCCAGUAGUC
RNAcentral lists this ribosomal RNA (465 nucleotides) under Vreelandella stevensii. Its description in RNAcentral is "partial 16S ribosomal RNA". It matches the Rfam family "Bacterial small subunit ribosomal RNA", at positions 338 to 795 of the family's 1533-position model. Lineage: Bacteria; Pseudomonadati; Pseudomonadota; Gammaproteobacteria; Oceanospirillales; Halomonadaceae. The record is from RNAcentral.